This 548-nucleotide ribosomal RNA is filed under the name uncultured fungus. Its description in RNAcentral is "SSU rRNA". It matches the Rfam family "Eukaryotic small subunit ribosomal RNA", at positions 564 to 1110 of the family's 1831-position model. The record is from RNAcentral. Lineage: Eukaryota; Fungi.
GUGCCAGCACGCCUUCGGUAAUUCCAGCUCCGAUAGCGUAUAUUAAAGGUGUUGUGGUUAAAAAGCUCGUAGUUGAACCUUGGGCCUGGCUGGCCGGUCCGCCUCACCGCGUGCACUGGUCCGGCCGGGCCUUUCCCUCUGUGGAACCCCAUACCCUUCACUGGGCGUGGCGGGGAAACAGGACAUUUACUUUGAAAAAAUUAGAGUGCUCCAGGCAGGCCUAUGCUCGAAUACAUUAGCAUGGAAUAAUAAAAUAGGACGCGCGGUUCUAUUUUGUUGGUUUAUAGGACCGCCGUAAUGAUUAAUAGGGACAGUCGGGGGCAUCAGUAUUCAACUGUCAGAGGUGAAAUUCUUGGAUCAGUUGAAGACUAACUACUGCGAAAGCAUUUGCCAAGGAUGUUUUUCAUUAUUCAGGAACGAAAGUUAGAGGGAUCGAAGACGAUCAUAUACCGUCGUAGUCUUUACCAUAAACUAUGCCGACUAGGGAUCGGACAGGUGUUAUUUAUGACCCGUUUCGGCACCUUACAGAGAAAAACAAAAGAGCUUGG